Ostrinia nubilalis (European corn borer) is the source of this 1424-nucleotide long non-coding RNA. RefSeq lists it as uncharacterized. The transcript has 2 exons. The record is from RefSeq and is a predicted model, not a curated record. Lineage: Eukaryota; Metazoa; Arthropoda; Insecta; Lepidoptera; Crambidae.
GUUGCAAAAGUAUUUUUAAUGUCUAGAUUUUAUACUUGUGCUAAAUGUAAGUACCUAGCCGCCAUUUUGUUCUUGAAAUGUGCAAUCCAUGUGCUCAGUGUAUCUGGACGAUGUCAUUUCGUAAUUUUAACUGUUGCUACAAUUGUUACUCGUAAUAUUUUACAUCUUAUUACAUAAUAAAAUAUUAAAUGAAUCGAUUUUACGAAAUGACAUCGACACGUCAUGACCUUUGUAUGACCUUGUUCGUACUGUAACGACACUCAUUCCAAAUUCUAUUUAAUUUGCUAAAUUGAACUAUUCUGAUUUAAUUCUACUGUUCUAAUUAUUCUAAAUUAUUGCCUACCUAUAUUGUUCUAUAAAUUAAUUGCCUACAUAGAUGAUAUGCUAAAUUAUUUUCUACCUACAUAAUUUAAUAUUCUGCCUACUUCACUUCACCUUUCACUACUGUAAUUCUGUUUGACUGCCACAUCAUUACAUCACCAUUUAUUACCAAAAUCAUUCCAUCUGCUUCGCUAGUAUUUUGAUGUCGCAGUCAAACGGACAAAAGCUAGCAACUGCUUUAGUGUCCGCUUUGAUUCGCAGGGUUCACGUUCACCUACAUCUUCUACGCCUACCUACUACACCAUGCAUGGUCACCACUGCCGAACCUACCACCUGGCUCUUCAACCCGGCAGAGCUUCCUGCCGUGUCGGACGGCCCGUGCGCACACUCUAAGUGGCCCUACACCACAGUGCGUACGGCCCUAGCCGUCUGGCGCGUCGACGACUCUGCGGGCCUACCAACUCGAAGAACCAACCCACAUCACCAUCAAUGCUAGCGAGGACAGUGGUUUGAAUAUACUACCACCGGUGACGAAUCUCGUGCGAUACGAUAGUUUGCUCGUAACCCACACCCUUAAGGUCUCUUGCUACUUAAUUCUUAAUAAAUUAUACUUGUUAACCUAAAUUAUCUUUUAUUUCUCUAACUAUUAAUCUAAAUUCAAUCAUGUCACAGCUCCUAAAGCUCUAACCGUGACAUUGGCGCCCAUACCGGUCUAUUCUAUCGCACUUGAGACGUUACCAGGUUCACGUUCACCUACAUCUUCUACGCCUACCUACUACACCAUGCAUGGUCACCACUGCCGAACCUACCACCUGGCUCUUCAACCCGGCAGAGCUGCCUGCCGUGUCGGACGGCCCGUGCGCACACUCUAAGUGGCCCUACACCACAGUGCGUACGGCCCUAGCCGUCUGGCGCGUCGACGACUCUGCGGGCCUACCAACUCGAAGAACCAACCCACAUCACCAUCAAUGCUAGCGAGGACAGUGGUUUGAAUAUACUACCACCGGUGACGAAUCUCGUGCGAUACGAUAGUUUGCUCGUAACCCACACCCUUAAGGUCUCUUGCUACUUAAUUCUUAAUAAAUUAUACUUGUUAACCUAAA